RNAcentral lists this ribosomal RNA (250 nucleotides) under uncultured bacterium. Its description in RNAcentral is "partial 16S ribosomal RNA". It matches the Rfam family "Bacterial small subunit ribosomal RNA", at positions 524 to 773 of the family's 1533-position model. The record is from RNAcentral.
UACGUAGGCAGCGAGCGUUGUUCGGAGUUACUGGGCGUAAAGAGUAUGUAGGCGGUUCUCCAAGUCUGGUGUGAAAUCUCCCGGCUCAACCGGGAGGGUGCAUUGGAAACUGGGGGGCUGGAGUGCGGGAGAGGGAAGCGGAAUUCCUGGUGUAGCGGUGAAAUGCGUAGAUAUCAGGAGGAACACCCGCGGUGUAGACGGCUUCCUGGACCGUAACUGACGCUGAGAUACGAAAGCGUGGGGAGCAAAC